CGACCACUCGGGUUCGGCUAUGCGGGAGCCGUGAGGAGGAGGCUUGCAGUCGUGGACCUGAGACCUCGGGAGGUCAUGCUGGCUUGCUUUUAAGUGGCUUGGGGAAAGUGAAGAAACCCCAAAAUGGAGGACUUUGCUACCAGGACCUACGGCACCAGUGGCCUGGACAACAGACCUCUGUUUGGGGAGACGUCCGCCAAGGAUCGAAUCAUCAAUUUAGUUGUUGGCAGCUUAACAUCCUUAUUGAUUCUAGUAAGUAUCCUCAUUUUGUGCCUCACCCAGGCUCUUAGCCAAAGUUUUGAAAACUUUAUCAAUUAUGGUUAACUUUCCAAAAAAAAAAAAAAGCUAAAUAAGUGCUUUUAACUUUAUUACCACAAAAUUGCAGUUGCUAAUUGGAGUAGCUAAUGUAAUUCUGCCCCACCCCCAGGUUGAAUAUGUGAAAUGGUGCAAGUCAGACAACUUGGUUUUAAGAUAGAGUUUACCAUGUUUUACCUAGUAAAUUUGUAAAAAUGUCAGUGGCUAGUAGCCACUUCCUUCUGUCAUCUACCAUAAUUCCCCAUUUCUAUUAAUUUUGUUCCUAAAGAACAUAUCCAUUACCCUUUGGUCAAGUUUUAAAAGAUUUGGUCACAGUGUAUAGUAGUUUUACUGUAUACAUCCUGUAUACAGUAUACAUCUGGGAGCUAUUACAAUAAAAUUUUUAAAAGCUGUAUUUUCCAUAGUUUGACAUUUUUCUGGCACAUUAAAUUUAAGAGAAUUUUUUUUCCAUGGCUUCUUAAUGAAAAGAUUGCAUAUAAUGCUGCAUUUGUUAGAAACAGAACUACACAAUAUUAGAAAAGUCUUUCAGUGUGUUUCAUAAUGUUAUAGCAAAACCAGCUUUGAUUAUAUUCAUUUUGCUAGAAAUAUUUAAAAUAACAAAAUGGCUAGAACUUUUUCCAGCAGAAUCAUUAAUCCUGGGAGUGAGGUUUAGUUAAUGAAGUUAUUUUGGGAUCAGCUAGUAUUACUGAUGUUUUCUCUCCUUUCAUAAGGGAAAGGUUAGAAAA
Molecule: small RNA, 1040 nt
Filed under: Pongo abelii (Sumatran orangutan)
Lineage: Eukaryota; Metazoa; Chordata; Mammalia; Primates; Hominidae
Description: retained intron
Source: RNAcentral